UGUCGUCAGCUCGUGUCGUGAGAUGUUGGGUUAAGUCCCGCAACGAGCGCAACCCUUAUUGUUAGUUGCCAUCAUUCAGUUGGGCACUCUAGCAAGACUGCCGGUGACAAACCGGAGGAAGGUGGGGAUGACGUCAAAUCAUCAUGCCCCUUAUGACCUGGGCUACACACGUGCUACAAUGGGAAGUACAACGAGUUGCGAAGUCGCGAGGCUAAGCUAAUCUCUUAAAGCUUCUCUCAGUUCGGAUUGCAGGCUGCAACUCGCCUGCAUGAAGCCGGAAUCGCUAGUAAUCGCGGAUCAGCACGCCGCGGUGAAUACGUUCCCGGGCCUUGUACACACCGCCCGUCACACCACGAGAGUUUGUAACACCCGAAGUCGGUGAGGUAACCUUUUUGGAGCCAGCCGCCUAAGGUGGGAUAGAUGAUUGGGGUGAAGUCGUAACAAGGUAGCCGUAUCGGAAGGUGCGGCUGGAUCACCUCCUUUCUAAGGAA
RNAcentral lists this ribosomal RNA (491 nucleotides) under Enterococcus faecium. RNAcentral describes it as "bacterial SSU rRNA". It matches the Rfam family "Bacterial small subunit ribosomal RNA", at positions 1050 to 1533 of the family's 1533-position model. Lineage: Bacteria; Bacillati; Bacillota; Bacilli; Lactobacillales; Enterococcaceae. The record is from RNAcentral.